GCGCUCGUAGCUCAGAUGGAUAGAGCGGCGGACUUCGAAUCCGCAGGCCGCAGGUUCGAGCCCUGCCGAGCGCGCCA
Molecule: transfer RNA, 77 nt
Filed under: Nitratireductor arenosus
Lineage: Bacteria; Pseudomonadati; Pseudomonadota; Alphaproteobacteria; Hyphomicrobiales; Phyllobacteriaceae
Description: Nitratireductor sp. CAU 1489 tRNA-Arg
Rfam family: tRNA
About the family: Transfer RNA (tRNA) molecules are approximately 80 nucleotides in length.
Source: RNAcentral